Octodon degus (degu) is the source of this 437-nucleotide long non-coding RNA. RefSeq lists it as uncharacterized. The transcript is spliced from 3 exons. NCBI's taxonomy places the organism in Eukaryota, Metazoa, Chordata, Mammalia, Rodentia, Octodontidae. The record is from RefSeq and is a predicted model, not a curated record.
GCCAUUGCCUGUUUUUUUCUGCUCCUAGUAUGGCCCCACUUGCUGUGGGCUUGGAGACAAGACAUCAAGGAGCCAGGCCCUUCAGGAUGUAGGUCGUGAGGGUGGAGCCCUCCUGAAUGCAAUCGAUGGCCUCGUGAGAAGAGAUUAUGAGGACUUGCAGGAAGACAGCUGUGGGCACACUGGGAGCAGAGCUCUCACUAGACGCCGCAUCUGCCAGCACUAUCAUCUUGGACUUUUAGCUUCUGGAUGUAUGAGAAGGUGGAAAAGAAGAAGGAAAAAGCCUAGAUCAAACUCCAGUCAAGAAAUGGAACCAAACUCAAGAUAUCCACCACACCUCCAACAAAAAUAACCUCUAUUACUCACCAAUUCCAGUAAUGAGAGAAGAGAUUGUGAACAGUGCAUGAUGUCAUUAUAUUCUGAAUUAAUUGGAACCAGAG